ACGGGGGGUGCAAGCGUUGUUCGGAAUUAUUGGGCGUAAAGAGCGUGUAGGCGGCGUGAUAAGUCAGAUGUGAAAGCCCUGGGCUUAACCCAGGAAGUGCAUUUGAAACUGUCAUGCUUGAGUACGGGAGAGGGAAGAGGAAUUCCUGGUGUAGAGGUGAAAUUCGUAGAUAUCAGGAGGAACACCGGUGGCGAAGGCGACUUCCUGGCCCGAUACUGACGCUGAGACGCGAGAGCGUGGGGAGCAAACAG
RNAcentral lists this ribosomal RNA (251 nucleotides) under uncultured prokaryote. RNAcentral describes it as "partial 16S rRNA". It matches the Rfam family "Bacterial small subunit ribosomal RNA", at positions 525 to 775 of the family's 1533-position model. The record is from RNAcentral.